AAAAAAAAAAAAAAAACCAAAAUGAUAUAAAAAGAUAAGAAAAUUAAUUGAAUAGUCCGCCAAUCAAAUAAAAAGAAUAAGAAAUUUCAAACAAACAAACAAAAAUCAGAACUUUCUGAUAUUUUUUUUUUCCUCAAACAACAAAUUAACUUGCAAAUUUAAAUAAUGUAUUAAGUAGUUCAUGUUCCCUAGCUUAAAAUUUAAACUAAAAUUGGAGAUUCAGAGAUAACUGGAAAAAAAUUGUUGAAAUAUGUUGAUUUGUUUGACGAAAGAAAACUUCAGGGAAAAUUUUGUUCAUUUGAAAUCCUUUUUAAAAGUUGAGCACUUUUAGAAGUAUUAGACUUGAUUUAAAAAAAAAGGUUUAUUGUAAAGAAGGGUAUACUUUUGGGACUUCAAAUGUUGUUAUCCACUCCCACAAAAU
This 421-nucleotide unclassified non-coding RNA is filed under the name Hevea brasiliensis (rubber tree). Lineage: Eukaryota; Viridiplantae; Streptophyta; Magnoliopsida; Malpighiales; Euphorbiaceae. The record is from RNAcentral.